Pteropus alecto (black flying fox) is the source of this 690-nucleotide non-coding RNA. NCBI's taxonomy places the organism in Eukaryota, Metazoa, Chordata, Mammalia, Chiroptera, Pteropodidae. The record is from the annotation of a RefSeq genome assembly.
UCCUGGGCUCUAAGGCCUGGAACCCCAGGCUGCACUUGAACUAUGAGAUCAGUGGCAGGAAUUACUAUUCUCCUAACUUUGGGUAUCAUGGGUGAUGCUAAGUCCACACAGCCAGAAGCAGUGGAGAGUACUGAAGAAAAACCUGUGAACCUGCCCUGUAACCACCCCACAAUCAGUGGAGCUGAGUACGUACACUGGUAUCGACAGAUUCCCGGCCAGGGUCCAGAGUAUGUGAUUCACAGUCUGAAAGGCAAUGUGAGCCAUGGAAUGAUGUCUCUGAUCAUUACCACAGACAGGAAGUCCAGUACCUUGAUCCUGGCCCAGGUCACCCUGAGAGACUCUGCUAUCUACUACUGCAUCUUGAGAGACACACAGUGGGAUGGAGGGGGCUGCACCUGUGUGAGAAGCCUAGAAGUGCAGCAGAGUCCUCAGUCCAUGAUAAUCCAAGAGGGAGAAGAUGUCACCAUCAUGUGCAAACCCUCAAAGACUUCAUAUUCCCUGCACUGGUAUUUUCAGAAGCAUGAAGAAGGCCCUAUCUUCUUGAUGAUGUUACAGAAAGGUGGAGAAGAGAAGAAUCGUGACAAAAUAGUUGCCACAUUUAAUGAAAACAAGCAGCAAAGCUCCCUGAACAUCACAGCCUCCCAGCCUAGUCAUUCAGGCACCUACUUCUGUGGAGUAGACACACAGUGA